Molecule: small nucleolar RNA, 130 nt
Organism: Fukomys damarensis (Damara mole-rat)
Lineage: Eukaryota; Metazoa; Chordata; Mammalia; Rodentia; Bathyergidae
Gene: SNORA71
Rfam family: Small nucleolar RNA SNORA71
About the family: The members of this family belong to the H/ACA class of snoRNAs which bind a number of proteins (including dyskerin, Gar1p and Nop10p) to form snoRNP complexes. This class of snoRNAs are thought to guide the sites of modification of uridines to pseudouridines by forming direct base pairing interactions with substrate RNAs. This family includes U71 (SNORA71), ACA39 (SNORA39) and ACA60 (SNORA60).
Source: Ensembl
CCCUGCAUUCGUAAGUGAUCAGGGGGUGCCCGUCCCCUGGUCAUUGGUAGUGCAGGCAGAGGAAAAAUGGGAAGAAUUAUCCUAUGUUUGGAGGGUAUGCUUGCCUUCCAGUUCUAGGAGCUUUCCCACA